AAGCGAAAGCAUUAAGUAUUCCACCUGGGGAGUACGCCGGCAACGGUGAAACUCAAAGGAAUUGACGGGGGCCCGCACAAGCGGAGGAACAUGUGGUUUAAUUCGAUGAUACGCGAGGAACCUUACCCGGGCUUAAAUUGCACCUGAAUAAUGUGGAAACAUGUUAGCCGUAAGGCAGGUGUGAAGGUGCUGCAUGGUUGUCGUCAGCUCGUGCCGUGAGGUGUCGGCUUAAGUGCCAUAACGAGCGCAACCCUUAUCUUCAGUUACUAACAGGUCAUGCUGAGGACUCUGGAGAGACUGCCGUCGUAAGAUGUGAGGAAGGUGGGGAUGACGUCAAAUCAGCACGGCCCUUACGUCCGGGACUACACACGUGUUACAAUGGGAGGUACAGAAGGCCGCUACCUGGCGACAGGAUGCCAAUCCCCAAAACCUCUCUCAGUUCGGAUCGAAGUCUGCAACCCGACUUCGUGAAGCUGGAUUCGCUAGUAAUCGCGCAUCAGCCAUGGCGCGGUGAAUACGUUCCCGGGCCUUGUACACACCGCCCGUC
RNAcentral lists this ribosomal RNA (547 nucleotides) under uncultured bacterium. RNAcentral's name for it is "bacterial SSU rRNA". It matches the Rfam family "Bacterial small subunit ribosomal RNA", at positions 849 to 1398 of the family's 1533-position model. The record is from RNAcentral.